AACGGAUAAACAUUGGAUCAUUGGAGUACUUAAAAUAUAUGCAUUCGUUCCGUUGUUUUACUUUAUUUUGCUGAACAGUGCUAUGAAUGAAAAUGUUUUCACCUUUUUUAUUUAUAUUAUCGAUGUUUUACAAUUGUUGUUUAGUUUAACAAGUUAUAACAACUGAGCAGAUCAUUAAUCAGAUAUAUGGUGGGGGAUUGUGGUAACAAAUAGAACAACUUGACAGAUUUGACACAGAUCCUUCAAAUUGUUCAUCCAUUUCAUGAUGGUAUCAGGAUAUCUAUGAACAGUUUUUAUUUUGAAAAAUGUUAUAUAUAAAUAUAUACGUAUUUUGAGAAGUUCCUAUGUGAAUUAAAUUUCAAGUUGUAUUACCCAAAACUUCAAUAUAAACUAACAUGAACACAAAUUGAAAACAUCAUGUUCCCAUAUUGUUAGAGGGUGGGGUUUUAGUAUGGGAAUAACACCAGAUUGGAAGGCUUCCAAAAUGAUACAUAUUUAUGCAAUGUUAUAAUAAAAACAAGUAUCACAAGUUUGUAAUCUGCAUAUUACUAGUUUAUUUUUUUAGAAAAUUAUAAACAACCAUUAUCAUGAACAACAAACAAAUAUAACACAGAUAAAUUGCAUAACUUAAUAUGAAAUAAACAUUUAUAUCUAUCUUUUUUUUUUAUAUAUAAGCCUUGUACAAAUUCUAACACAAAGCAAUGAAACAGAUUUGUUUUAAAGUUACAUGUAAAUCAACUUACUCUAAAAUCCAGUGUAACAAUAAAUGGGUAAUUUUCAAAUAAAGGAAUUGCUCAAUAAAAACAAGCCUGGCUAUCUGUUCAAGCAUAUAAAUAUUCAAACAGAGACUAAACAAGGAAGUAUUUGCACGGAAUUGGAAUUUCCCAGACUAUAUUUUCAAAAAAAAAAAAAUGUACAACAAAAAAUACUGAACUCAAAGGUAAAUUUAAAAGGGAAAGUCCAUAACAACUGACAAAAACCGAGUUUUAUUAACCAAUGGAAUGUGUGAAAAACAAAUCUCAUGUUUGUGUGUGUGUAUGUGCAUUUUCGGAAGAAUUCGAUGGUUUAACCUGGUUUUAAAGCUAGCUUAUCCACACACUUGUUUGACAUUUGUUACCAUUGAAUUUAAAAGUCUCAAAUUCUAUGUGAUAACUUCUUUCACUCGUCUAUCUAUUGAAUCCUUAUUAAAGAUUUUCAAUUCUGACCAAAAAAAUUUCAUUAUACUUCCAAUCAACUUGUCUUUAAAAAAAACCAGUUAUCACUGUGCGGGUUUUUAUUACCGUGAAUAAUGCUACUGGGCGAUUAUGGCAAAAAUAUGAACUCACAUUCUGAUAACUGAAACAUAGAUAUGUAUGUAGAUUUUUCCCAAAAUCGCAUUCAAUCAACUCACAUUUUUGUCUAUUCUUGUACAAUCGCAGUAAUAAAUGCAUGCAAUAAUUUUUGAAUUUACAGGACACAAAGAUUUAGCCUUAACUCAUUCUAAAAUAUAAAUUCUCAAUCAAGAAGGCGGAUAUCUUGAAAUUGGUCAACAAACCUGAAUUUUGUGAUGUAAUGUUCCAAAUUGCACCAGGACUAUAUAAUCAUUAAAAUAAAAAUAUGUGGCAUAAUUGCCAAUGAGACAACUAUCCACCAAAGUUCAAACAACAAUCAUGAAAGCAAUUAUAGGUCACCAAACAGCUUUCAACAAGAAGAAAACUCAUACUGUAUUGUCAGAUAUAGAUGGUUUUCCAACUUUUAAUAACAUAAUCAAAUAUAAACAUAAACAGUACCAAAUUUACAGCAUCACAUUUAAUGUCUCUUUAGUAAUGCCAAAGUCCAAAAUAUUUGAGUUGAACAAUUUUAUAUGAGCUGUAACUGUGAAAUGUGACCCUUAAAAGAAAUGUUUAAUGCCAUUAACAUAUUGACAAUAGCAACUGAAAUAGAAAAAGUUGUAAAAAAUUAUUACAAAAUGACCAUGGUUACACUCCAUUUACAACAGUUUCAUUAUUUGUGAUUUUUAAACUAUAUACUACCAUUAUUAUAAAAAGAUCAAGAACUUUUUAUAAACACACCACUACAAAUCUAUUGUUACAUCUAUCAAUAUAAAUGAAGCAUAGAAAAUAAAAAAAAAAAAACAACAACAAUAAGAUCUAUUCCAGGAAAAUUGAAUGUGAGGAUGAAGACCUUUUAUUGAUGAGCUCUCAAUAUUUAUUCAUUUAUAUUUUUUUUCAUUAUAAAAUAAAUUUCAUUUUUGUGGAUCAUUGAUUCUAUCGUUUUGUGAAAGUAUGCAUACAAGCAAUUGACAAUUUGUACUUUUGUAUUUCAAAUUUGUGAACAAAAUCUAUCAAAAUUGGUCUUCAAUGACUGAUAAUGAAUCCAUAGAAGUGCAUAUUGUAGCACUAAUUAAAUAUUUAUGUUAGAAAGUUGAUUUUAAGCAGCAAUCAAGAUUAUUUAAUACAAUUUCGAUAUUUCAUUUAAGGAACAUUUUUUAAAAGUCAGGUCCUUACUUCUGUCCAUAUUGCGAUAUAGAUGCCAAAACUAAAUUGAGAGCUGAUAAAAUUACACUGCAAACUAUUUUUGAAACUUGCAAAGACCUAUCGUGGUUUAAAUAAGUUAUAUAACAAUUUCUUAUUUUCAUAUUUGUAAUUCCAACUGUACAUCACAAAACAAACUUAUUUAUCAUCUAUCCCACAUACUUUCCUGGAAAAGUCUUUGUCUCCCAUCUUUUAAGGUGGGUAUAUAACAUUAAUAUCACAGAUAUUUGAUAGAGGUACACCUUUUUAUAGAACAAUAUGGUUUUGAUAUUGUUUCUUUUUCUACCACAUAUUCUUAUAAAUACAAUUGACAAGACAUUGAAAAAAACAACAGAUUUUUUUUUCAUGCUUCAGGAAGCAUUUGUCUAUAAUCUUAAAUCUUUUUUUAAUAAUAAAUGUGUGAGCAAAGAGCUUAAUAUUUUUGAAUAACACAUUACUAUUGAAACUUUAACCUUACUAAACAAACAAUUUGUAUGAAGGAUAUUUAAAUCAUCAAAAACCGAUUUUUUUUUACAAAAAGUUCUUAGAGAAAUGAUAAGACAAAGAUUAUAUCUAAAUAAUUUAAUUUUGGAUGUAACACGUCUUCUGAUUGGCUGACGUUGUUUUGUUAUCAGCUCAUAGACAUAAUUUAGUCAUGUCACCGUGACAUCAUCAACAUUUUUUUAAUGGUUUACUCUGGUUUAAAAUGGAAUUUAGAAUUAUAUUAUAAGAAAUAACUGUAAUAUUUUAUCUGUCUAUUCGAAAUAACAUAUAAAAUGUGUUGCACACUUUAAAAUAACCCGCUACACGUGUUAUUCAGUGUGCAACACAUUUCUUAUGUUAUUUCUUCAUAGACAGAAGAUACAUUACAGUCAUUCCUUAAAUCUUUAAAUUGCAAGAAAAUAAAAAAAUAAAAAUUUGUGAAAAUUUUGAAAAAGCCCAUAAAUUCAAUUAAACAAUCUUGAAGCAAAUUAUUUACUGGCCUUUUCAGGGAUAAUACUUUUAUAGUCAUGGGACAAUAUUGUUAUUGAAACAAUCAACAAAUAAAUAUUUAAUCAUUUCAUUUUGUUUUAUUUUUAAACAAGCCGGGUUCAAAAUUUUAAUUUCAGCUAUCUAAAUAUUUUGAAACCUGUUGCUUUAAACAAUUCAUUUGCAGCACAAUAUUCUAAUUGGAGCUAUCUGAAAAUUUAAGAAUCUUUUCUGUUAAAUUGGAAAAAAGUAAUUUUAAACUUAAAAAUAAUAAGUUCGUUAUCUUCUAACUACAGUAAAAAUUAACAAAAAAUAGUAUGUCAAGUUAAAUAACAAAUAUAUAUUUAAAAAGUUUCAACAAGUUUUUAAUCGGUAUCCUCUCUUGCCACAUGUCCUAUUAGGUAUAUGUUGUCAUAGAGAUGACCUGCAAAAUCUUCAUCUACACCAAGUGCUGCCCUCUUUGUAUUUUUGAUAAAUUCUCUUUUUGACAUUUUGUUCUUUACAGCUGGACUGGUUAGGUCCACAGAUAACAUAAUCAGUGAAAAACACAACACAAAAACAGUAUCUGAAAAAAAUAAUGAAUUUCAAUUUAUUAUUAUAACUAGUUUGUUUAAUUGUUCCAACCUUCUUGUGAAAAUUUUUAUUAAGGUAUA
RNAcentral lists this long non-coding RNA (4114 nucleotides) under Mytilus galloprovincialis (Mediterranean mussel). The record is from RNAcentral. Lineage: Eukaryota; Metazoa; Mollusca; Bivalvia; Mytilida; Mytilidae.